GAACGCUGGCGGCGUGCCUAACACAUGCAAGUCGAACGGGAACCCUUGGAUUCGUCUGGGGGGGAGAGUGGCGGACGGGUGAGUAACACGUAGGUGACCUGCCCCAAAGCGGGGAAUAACCAUUGGAAACGGUGGCUAAUACCCCAUGUGCUCGAUAGUUCAAUCUGUCGAGUAAAGCUCCGGCGCUUUGGGAUGGGCCUGCGGCCCAUCAGGUAGUUGGUAGGGUAAUGGCCUACCAAGCCAAUGACGGGUAGGGGGCGUGAGAGCGUGAUCCCCCACACUGGCACUGAGAUACGGGCCAGACUCCUACGGGAGGCAGCAGUGAGGAAUAUUGCCCAAUGGACGAAAGUCUGAGGCAGCAACGCCGCGUGAGCGAUGAAGGCCUUCGGGUUGUAAAGCUCUUUUCUGGGGGACGAGGAAGGACGGUACCUCAGGAAUAAGUCACGGCUAACUACGUGCCAGCAGCCGCGGUAAUACGUAGGUGGCGAGCGUUAUCCGGAUUUACUGGGCGUAAAGCGCGUGUAGGCGGUUUCGUAAGUCGGAUGUGAAAGCUCCUGGCUCAACUGGGAGAGGCCAUUCGAUACUGCGGGACUUGAGGACGGGAGAGGGACGUGGAAUUCCCGGUGUAGUGGUGGAAUGCGUAGAUAUCGGGAGGAACACCAGUGGCGAA
Molecule: ribosomal RNA, 670 nt
Filed under: uncultured Chloroflexaceae bacterium
Lineage: Bacteria; Bacillati; Chloroflexota; Chloroflexia; Chloroflexales; Chloroflexaceae
Description: bacterial SSU rRNA
Rfam family: Bacterial small subunit ribosomal RNA
Source: RNAcentral